Molecule: ribosomal RNA, 481 nt
Filed under: uncultured bacterium
Lineage: Bacteria
Description: partial 16S ribosomal RNA
Rfam family: Bacterial small subunit ribosomal RNA
Source: RNAcentral
ACGAACGCUGGCGGCGCGCCUAACACAUGCAAGUCGAACGAGCGAGAGAGAGCUUGCUUUCUCGAGCGAGUGGCGAACGGGUGAGUAACGCGUGAGGAACCUGCCUCAAAGAGGGGGACAACAGUUGGAAACGACUGCUAAUACCGCAUAAGCCCACGACCCGGCAUCGGGUUGAGGGAAAAGGAGCAAUCCGCUUUGAGAUGGCCUCGCGUCCGAUUAGCUAGUUGGUGAGGUAACGGCCCACCAAGGCGACGAUCGGUAGCCGGACUGAGAGGUUGAACGGCCACAUUGGGACUGAGACACGGCCCAGACUCCUACGGGAGGCAGCAGUGGGGAAUAUUGCACAAUGGGGGAAACCCUGAUGCAGCGACGCCGCGUGGAGGAAGAAGGUCUUCGGAUUGUAAACUCCUGUUGUUGAGGAAGAUAAUGACGGUACUCAACAAGGAAGUGACGGCUAACUACGUGCCAGCCGCCGCAGUAA